AUUGAACGCUGGCGGCAGGCCUAACACAUGCAAGUCGAGCGGAUGAAGGGAGCUUGCUCCUGGAUUCAGCGGCGGACGGGUGAGUAAUGCCUAGGAAUCUGCCUGGUAGUGGGGGAUAACGUCCGGAAACGGGCGCUAAUACCGCAUACGUCCUGAGGGAGAAAGUGGGGGAUCUUCGGACCUCACGCUAUCAGAUGAGCCUAGGUCGGAUUAGCUAGUUGGUGGGGUAAAGGCCUACCAAGGCGACGAUCCGUAACUGGUCUGAGAGGAUGAUCAGUCACACUGGAACUGGGACACGGUCCAGGCUCCUACGGGAGGCAGCAGUGGGGAAUAUUGGACAAUGGGCGAAAGCCUGAUCCAGCCAUGCCGCGUGUGUUAAGAAGGUCUUCGGAUUGUAAAGCACUUUAAGUUGGGAGGAAGGGCAGUAAGUUAAUACCUUGCUGUUUUGACGUUACCAACAGAAUAAGCACCGGCUAACUUCGUG
This 484-nucleotide ribosomal RNA is filed under the name uncultured bacterium. Its description in RNAcentral is "partial 16S ribosomal RNA". It matches the Rfam family "Bacterial small subunit ribosomal RNA", at positions 30 to 507 of the family's 1533-position model. The record is from RNAcentral.